AGAGUUUGAUCAUGGCUCAGAACGAACGCUGGCGGCGUGGAUAAGACAUGCAAGUCGAACGGGAUUUUCUUUGGUAGCAAUACUAGAGAAAGUCUAGUGGCGAACGGGUGCGUAACACGUGGGCAAUCUGCCUUAAAGUGGGGGGAUAGCUCGGCGAAAGCCGAAUUAAUACCGCAUGUGAUUAGAAGGGACAUCCCUUCGAAAUCAAAGAUGGCGCAAGCUAUCGCUUUUUGAGGAGCCCGCGGCCUAUCAGCUAGUUGGUGAGGUAACGGCUCACCAAGGCUUUAACGGGUAGCUGGUCUGAGAGGACGACCAGUCACACUGGAACUGAGACACGGUCCAGACACCUACGGGUGGCAGCAGUCGAGAAUUUUUCUCAAUGGGGGAAACCCUGAAGGAGCGACGCCGCGUGGAGGAUGAAGGUCUUCGGGUUGUAAACUCCUGUCAUUUGGGAACAAGUUGCACACGUUAACUGCGUGGGCAUUGAUAGUACCAGAAGAGGAAGAGACGGCUAACUCUGUGCCAGCAGCCGCGGUAAUACAGAGGUCUCAAGCGUUGUUCGGAUUCAUUGGGCGUAAAGGGUGCGUAGGUGGCGCCAUAAGUCGGGUGUGAAAUUUCGGAGCUUAACUCCGAAACUGCAUUCGAUACUGUGGUGCUUGAGGACUGGAGAGGAGACUGGAAUUUACGGUGUAGCAGUGAAAUGCGUAGAGAUCGUAAGGAAGACCAGUGGCGAAGGCGGGUCUCUGGACAGUUCCUGACACUGAGGCACGAAGGCCAGGGGAGCAAACGGGAUUAGAUACCCUAGUAGUCC
Molecule: ribosomal RNA, 811 nt
Filed under: uncultured bacterium
Lineage: Bacteria
Description: bacterial SSU rRNA
Rfam family: Bacterial small subunit ribosomal RNA
Source: RNAcentral